AAUAGCCUAACGGCUGAACCAGCAACUUGAUGGAAUGUAUAGCGAAAGCUAAUUGUCAAUACCGAUUUAUUCGGCUAAAGUUCUGGGUAGAGUUUUGAUGAUGACAAUACCUCUAUAUGUCUUGACCAAAUUCUGUGCCAGCAGUCGCGGCAAUACAAAGAAGACUUGUGUUAUUCAUGUUUAGUCGGUUUAAAGGGUAACUAGACGGUAAAUCAAGCCAACUAAUUUAUUGAGUUUAAUAUAAGGGAGCAUUAAAGUACUGAUGUGUAGAGAUGAAAUUCGUUGAUACCUAUGGCACAGGUUUAGGCGAAAGCAUCUCCUUAUGUAAAAACUGCGUUGAAGGACGAAGGAGA
Molecule: ribosomal RNA, 353 nt
Filed under: Lepraria coriensis
Lineage: Eukaryota; Fungi; Ascomycota; Lecanoromycetes; Lecanorales; Stereocaulaceae
Description: SSU rRNA
Rfam family: Bacterial small subunit ribosomal RNA
Source: RNAcentral